Molecule: ribosomal RNA, 1048 nt
Filed under: Streptococcus anginosus
Lineage: Bacteria; Bacillati; Bacillota; Bacilli; Lactobacillales; Streptococcaceae
Description: bacterial SSU rRNA
Rfam family: Bacterial small subunit ribosomal RNA
Source: RNAcentral
GUUUUCGGAUCGUAAAGCUCUGUUGUUAAGGAAGAACGAGUGUGAGAAUGGAAAGUUCAUACUGUGACGGUACUUAACCAGAAAGGGACGGCUAACUACGUGCCAGCAGCCGCGGUAAUACGUAGGUCCCGAGCGUUGUCCGGAUUUAUUGGGCGUAAAGCGAGCGCAGGCGGUUAGAAAAGUCUGAAGUGAAAGGCAGUGGCUCAACCAUUGUAGGCUUUGGAAACUGUUUAACUUGAGUGCAGAAGGGGAGAGUGGAAUUCCAUGUGUAGCGGUGAAAUGCGUAGAUAUAUGGAGGAACACCGGUGGCGAAAGCGGCUCUCUGGUCUGUAACUGACGCUGAGGCUCGAAAGCGUGGGGAGCGAACAGGAUUAGAUACCCUGGUAGUCCACGCCGUAAACGAUGAGUGCUAGGUGUUGGGUCCUUUCCGGGACUCAGUGCCGCAGCUAACGCAUUAAGCACUCCGCCUGGGGAGUACGACCGCAAGGUUGAAACUCAAAGGAAUUGACGGGGGCCCGCACAAGCGGUGGAGCAUGUGGUUUAAUUCGAAGCAACGCGAAGAACCUUACCAGGUCUUGACAUCCCGAUGCUAUUUCUAGAGAUAGGAAGUUUCUUCGGAACAUCGGUGACAGGUGGUGCAUGGUUGUCGUCAGCUCGUGUCGUGAGAUGUUGGGUUAAGUCCCGCAACGAGCGCAACCCUUAUUGUUAGUUGCCAUCAUUAAGUUGGGCACUCUAGCGAGACUGCCGGUAAUAAACCGGAGGAAGGUGGGGAUGACGUCAAAUCAUCAUGCCCCUUAUGACCUGGGCUACACACGUGCUACAAUGGCUGGUACAACGAGUCGCAAGCCGGUGACGGCAAGCUAAUCUCUGAAAGCCAGUCUCAGUUCGGAUUGUAGGCUGCAACUCGCCUACAUGAAGUCGGAAUCGCUAGUAAUCGCGGAUCAGCACGCCGCGGUGAAUACGUUCCCGGGCCUUGUACACACCGCCCGUCACACCACGAGAGUUUGUAACACCCGAAGUCGGUGAGGUAACCGUAAGGAGCCAGCCG